AACGCACAUUGCGCCCACUGGUAUUCCGGUGGGCAUGCCUGUUCGAGCGUCAUUAUCCUCCCUCAAACCCCGUGUUUGGUGUUGGGCCCGCGUUCCUGCGAAGGAACUGGCCUCAAAGACAAUGACGGCGUCCGCGGGACCCUCGGUGCAACGAGCUUUCAGGAGCACGCGCCGAGUUUCAAGGUCCCCCCGGGCCGGUCUAACCCUUUUUUUACUUAUAAGGUUGACCUCGGAUCAGGUAGGAAUACCCGCUGAACUUAA
This 261-nucleotide unclassified non-coding RNA is filed under the name Knufia sp. RNAcentral describes it as "partial contains 5.8S ribosomal RNA, internal transcribed spacer 2, and large subunit ribosomal RNA". The stretch from base 1 to 52 matches the Rfam family "5.8S ribosomal RNA", at positions 103 to 154 of the family's 154-position model. RNAcentral also lists the same sequence under 4 other names. The record is from RNAcentral. Lineage: Eukaryota; Fungi; Ascomycota; Eurotiomycetes; Chaetothyriales; Trichomeriaceae.